Molecule: unclassified non-coding RNA, 274 nt
Filed under: air metagenome
Description: partial contains small subunit ribosomal RNA, internal transcribed spacer 1, and 5.8S ribosomal RNA
Rfam family: Eukaryotic small subunit ribosomal RNA (bases 1-46)
Source: RNAcentral
AAGUCGUAACAAGGUUUCCGUAGGUGAACCUGCGGAAGGAUCAUUAUAGAAUUCCAAUUGGGUCAGGUUGUGCUGGCUGAAAAGCAAGUGCACGCCUGCUCAUAAGCAUUCAAACCUCUGUGCACCUUUCAUGGAAUAGCUUGUAGAUUGGGUGACCUAUGUUGCUUGAUUUACAGCUGCUCUGUGUUUUUAUAAACUUCUUAAUCAGUUCAGAAUGUCUAUUGUGUUAAUACACAUCUUUAUACAACUUUCAGCAACGGAUCUCUUGGCUCUC